GAUGAACGCUGGCGGCGUGCCUAAUACAUGCAAGUCGAGCGAACAGACGAGGAGCUUGCUACUCUGACGUUAGCGGCGGACGGGUGAGUAACACGUGGAUAACCUACCUAUAAGACUGGGAUAACUUCGGGAAACCGGAGCUAAUACCGGAUAAUAUAUUGAACCGCAUGGUUCAAUAGUGAAAGACGGUCUUGCUGUCACUUAUAGAUGGAUCCGCGCUGCAUUAGCUAGUUGGUAAGGUAACGGCUUACCAAGGCAACGAUGCAUAGCCGACCUGAGAGGGUGAUCGGCCACACUAGAACUGAGACACGGUCCAGACUCCUACGGGAGGCAGCAGUAGGGAAUCUUCCGCAAUGGGCGAAAGCCUGACGGAGCACCGCCGCGUGAGUGAUGAAGGUCUUCGGAUCUUAAAACUCUGUUAUUAGGGAAGAACAAAUGUGUAAGUAACUAUGCACGUCUUGACGGUACCUAAUCAGAAAGCCACGGCUAACUACGUG
Molecule: ribosomal RNA, 497 nt
Filed under: uncultured bacterium
Lineage: Bacteria
Description: partial 16S ribosomal RNA
Rfam family: Bacterial small subunit ribosomal RNA
Source: RNAcentral